RNAcentral lists this ribosomal RNA (465 nucleotides) under uncultured bacterium. RNAcentral describes it as "partial 16S ribosomal RNA". It matches the Rfam family "Bacterial small subunit ribosomal RNA", at positions 28 to 507 of the family's 1533-position model. The record is from RNAcentral.
GACGAACGCUGGCGGCGUGCUUAACACAUGCAAGUCGAACGGAAAGGCCCUGCUUGCAGGGUACUCGAGUGGCGAACGGGUGAGUAACACGUGGGUGAUCUGCCCUGCACUUCGGGAUAAGCCUGGGAAACUGGGUCUAAUACCGGAUAGGAGCCAUUUGUAGUGUGAUGGUUGGAAAGUUUUUUCGGUGUAGGAUGAGCUCGCGGCCUAUCAGCUUGUUGGUGGGGUAAUGGCCUACCAAGGCGGCGACGGGUAGCCGGCCUGAGAGGGUGGACGGCCACAUUGGGACUGAGGGGCGGCCCAAGCUCCGACGGGGGGCAGCCGGGGGGAAUAUUGCACCAGGGGCGCAAGGCGUAUGCAGCCGCGCCGCGGGGGGGAUAGCGGCCUUCGGGUUGUAGACUCCUUUCGCUAGGGGCCAAGGUUUUUUUGACGGUACCUAGAGAAGAAGCACCGGCUAACUACGUG